UGAACCAAUGAGGAUUGGUAGAGGUUGAGGCAGACGAUGAAUAAUAAGUAUCUGGAACCCUGAGGUCCAA
Molecule: small nucleolar RNA, 70 nt
Filed under: Tursiops truncatus (common bottlenose dolphin)
Lineage: Eukaryota; Metazoa; Chordata; Mammalia; Artiodactyla; Delphinidae
Description: Small nucleolar RNA SNORD113/SNORD114 family (ENSTTRG00000022962.1)
Rfam family: Small nucleolar RNA SNORD113/SNORD114 family
About the family: The imprinted human domain at 14q32 contains two clusters of tandemly repeated small nucleolar RNAs named 14q(I) and 14q(II) snoRNAs. These two clusters are named SNORD113 and SNORD114 respectively in the HGNC approved gene symbol nomenclature. The snoRNAs found in both clusters are clearly related and are represented here by a single family.
Source: Rfam by way of RNAcentral